AUUGAAGAGUUUGAUCAUGGCUCAGGAUGAACGCUAGCGACAGGCUUAACACAUGCAAGUCGAGGGGCAGCGGGGGCGAAGCUUGCUUCGCCUGCCGGCGACCGGCGCACGGGUGAGUAACACGUAUGCAACCUACCCCCGGCAGGGGAAUAACCCGGAGAAAUCCGGACUAAUACCACACGGCACUAUCGGGAGGCAUCUCCUGAGAGUUAAAGGAGCGAUCCGGCCGGGGAUGGGCAUGCGGCGCAUUAGCUAGUCGGCGGGGUAACGGCCCACCGAGGCGACGAUGCGUAGGGGUUCUGAGAGGAAGGUCCCCCACACUGGUACUGAGACACGGACCAGACUCCUACGGGAGGCAGCAGUGAGGAAUAUUGGUCAAUGGGCGAGAGCCUGAACCAGCCAAGUCGCGUGAGGGAUGACGGUCCUAUGGAUUGUAAACCUCUUUUGUCGGGGAACAAAGGCGCCCACGAGUGGGCUGAUGAGUGUACCCGAAGAAAAAGCAUCGGCUAACUCCGUGCCAGCAGCCGCGGUAAUACGGAGGAUGCGAGCGUUAUCCGGAUUUAUUGGGUUUAAAGGGUGCGUAGGCGGACAGUCAAGUCAGCGGUAAAAAUGCGGUGCUCAACGCCGUACAGCCGUUGAAACUGGCAGUCUUGAGUGGGCGAGAAGUAUGCGGAAUGCGUGGUGUAGCGGUGAAAUGCAUAGAUAUCACGCAGAACUCCGAUUGCGAAGGCAGCAUACCGGCGCCCUACUGACGCUGAGGCACGAAAGCGUGGGUAUCGAACAGGAUUAGAUACCCUGGUAGUCCACGCAGUAAACGAUGAAUACUAAUUGUCCGGGGCUUCGGUCCUGGGUGAUACAGCGAAAGCGUUAAGUAUUCCACCUGGGGAGUACGCCGGCAACGGUGAAACUCAAAGGAAUUGACGGGGGCCCGCACAAGCGGAGGAACAUGUGGUUUAAUUCGAUGAUACGCGAGGAACCUUACCCGGGCUCAAACGUCAGUUGACGUAUCCGGAAACGGAUAUUCCCUUCGGGGCAACUGACGAGGUGCUGCAUGGUUGUCGUCAGCUCGUGCCGUGAGGUGUCGGCUUAAGUGCCAUAACGAGCGCAACCCCUACCGACAGUUGCUAACAAGUAGCGUUGAGGACUCUGUCGGGACUGCCGGCGCAAGCUGUGAGGAAGGCGGGGAUGACGUCAAAUCAGCACGGCCCUUACGUCCGGGGCGACACACGUGUUACAAUGGCAGGUACAGCGGGAGGCCACGGGGCGACCCGGAGCAGAACCCGAAAACCUGUCUCAGUUCGGAUUGGAGUCUGCAACCCGACUCCAUGAAGCUGGAUUCGCUAGUAAUCGCGCAUCAGCCACGGCGCGGUGAAUACGUUCCCGGGCCUUGUACACACCGCCCGUCAAGCCAUGGAAGCCGGGAGUGCCUGAAGUGCGUGACCGCAAGGAGCGCCCUAAGGCAAGACCGGUGACUGGGGCUAAGUCGUAACAAGGUAACC
This 1499-nucleotide ribosomal RNA is filed under the name uncultured Bacteroidales bacterium. RNAcentral's name for it is "bacterial SSU rRNA". It matches the Rfam family "Bacterial small subunit ribosomal RNA". The record is from RNAcentral. Lineage: Bacteria; Pseudomonadati; Bacteroidota; Bacteroidia; Bacteroidales.